GGGUCGUUAGCUCAUCAGGCAGAGCACCGGCCUUUUAAGCCGGUGGCGGUUGGUUCGAGUCCAACACGACCCA
Molecule: transfer RNA, 73 nt
Filed under: bacterium
Lineage: Bacteria
Description: tRNA-Lys
Rfam family: tRNA
About the family: Transfer RNA (tRNA) molecules are approximately 80 nucleotides in length.
Source: RNAcentral